This 256-nucleotide ribosomal RNA is filed under the name uncultured bacterium. Its description in RNAcentral is "partial 16S ribosomal RNA". It matches the Rfam family "Bacterial small subunit ribosomal RNA", at positions 15 to 273 of the family's 1533-position model. The record is from RNAcentral.
GAUCCUGGCUCAGGACGAACGCUGGCGGCAUGCUUAACACAUGCAAGUCGAACGGUAAGGCCCUUCGGGGUACGACGAGUGGCGAACGGGUGAGUAACACGUGAGUAACCUGCCCCCGACCUUUGGAAUAAGCGCUCGAAAGGGCGUCUAAUACCGAAUAGUUCCUCAGUGGGCAUCCACUGAGGCGAAAAGCUCCGGCGGUUGGGGAUGGACUCGCGUCCUAUCAGCUUGUUGGUGAGGUAACGGCUCACCAAGG